CCCCUCCUGACUGCAAGAUCUCAGACUCUGGAGACAGACCUACCCGGGUUCACAUUCUGCCUGGGCUACUGACCAGCUGUAGGGGCUUUGCACCUGCCUCGGGACCAUUUGUACCAUCCCUAGGUGGUUCUCCAGGGCCACCCGCCUCUGAGCCCAGAUGAGGACUGCACAUGCACCUCCCGAAGGAUGAUGUCACUCCCAUCCAGACAGUGGUUUUGCAUCGGUCCUGUCCUUUCUCAGGGAUGACCCCGAUGCCAGCUGGUUUUCUUCCAAACAAUAAGCUCCAUGAAAGAAGAGGCCACGUUGUUUCUGCAACACCAGACUCAGCAGAGAAGGUGCUUG
Leptonychotes weddellii (Weddell seal) is the source of this 342-nucleotide non-coding RNA. Lineage: Eukaryota; Metazoa; Chordata; Mammalia; Carnivora; Phocidae. The record is from RefSeq and is a predicted model, not a curated record.